RNAcentral lists this ribosomal RNA (428 nucleotides) under uncultured bacterium. Its description in RNAcentral is "bacterial SSU rRNA". It matches the Rfam family "Bacterial small subunit ribosomal RNA", at positions 355 to 775 of the family's 1533-position model. The record is from RNAcentral.
UGGGGAAUAUUGGACAAUGGGGGCAACCCUGAUCCAGCAAUGCCGCGUGUGUGAAGAAGGCCUUCGGGUCGUAAAGCACUUUAGUUGGAGAAGAAGGUAAUUUGUUUAAGAGAUGAAUUAUUUGACGGUAUCCAAAGAAUAAGCACCGGCUAACUCUGUGCCAGCAGCCGCGGUAAUACAGAGGGUGCUAGCGUUAAUCGGAAUUACUGGGCGUAAAGGGCGCGUAGGCGGUUGUUUAAGUUUGAUGUGAAAGCCCCGGGCUUAACCUGGGAACUGCAUUGAAUACUGGGCGACUAGAGUACUGUAGAGGGUAGUGGAAUUUCCGGUGUAGCGGUGAAAUGCGUAGAGAUCGGAAGGAACACCAGUGGCGAAGGCGGCUACCUGGACAGAUACUGACGCUGAGGCGCGAGAGCGUGGGGAGCAAACAG